This 686-nucleotide ribosomal RNA is filed under the name Myxariellum concinnum. RNAcentral's name for it is "partial large subunit ribosomal RNA". It matches the Rfam family "Eukaryotic large subunit ribosomal RNA", at positions 126 to 795 of the family's 3401-position model. The record is from RNAcentral. Lineage: Eukaryota; Fungi; Basidiomycota; Agaricomycetes; Auriculariales.
GGUCUUUGGCCGUCCGAGUUGUAGUUUAUAGAGGCGUUUUCCGCGCUGGACCGUGUACAAGUCCCCUGGAAUGGGGCGUCAUAGAGGGUGAGAAUCCCGUACUUGACACGGACUGCCAGUGCUAUGUGAUGCGCCUUCGAAGAGUCGAGUUGUUUGAGAAUGCAGCUCAAAAUGGGUGGUAAAUUCCAUCUAAAGCUAAAUAUAGGCGAGAGACCGAUAGCGAACAAGUACCGUGAGGGAAAGAUGAAAAGAACUUUGGAAAGAGAGUUAAAAAGUACGUGAAAUUGCUGAAAGGGAAACGCUUGAAGUCAGUCGUCUCCGCCGGGAAUCAGCCUUGCUUCUGCUUGGUGCACUUCUCGUGUGGAGGGGCCAGCAUCGAUUUUGGUCGUCGGAUAAUGGCGGGGGGAAUGUGGCACCUUUCGGGGUGUGUUAUAGCCUCUCGUCGUAUACGGCGGCUGGGAUCGAGGACCGCAGUGCGCCUUUGGUCGGGGGUUCGCCUCACGCGACGCGCUUAGGAUGCUGGCAUAAUGGCUUUUAAACGACCCGUCUUGAAACACGGACCAAGGAGUCUAACAUGCCUGCGAGUGUUUUGGGUGGUAAACUCAGGCGCGAAAUGAAAGUGAAAGGUUGGGAGCCCGCNNGGNNGNACCGACGCCCGAUCCUGACGUUCUCUGACGGAUUUGAGG